GGAGUUUGGACCGUGUCUCAGUUCCAAUGUGGGGGACCUUCCUCUCAGAACCCCUACUGAUCGUUGGCCAGGUGGGCCGUUACCCCGCCUGCAACCUAAUCAGACGCAUCCCCAUCCCAUAGCGAUGAAUCUUUGCUCCAACUUAGAUGCCUGCAUUGGAGAACAUAGGGUGUUAAUCCGCAUUUCUACGGGCUAUGCCCUACCAGGGGGAAGGUUGGAUACGCGUUACUCACCCGUGCGCCGGUCGCCAUCAGGAAUUGCAAGCAACUCCCAUGCUGCCCCUCGACUUGCAUGUGUUAAGCCUGUAGCUAGCGUUCAUC
RNAcentral lists this ribosomal RNA (320 nucleotides) under uncultured Prevotella sp. Its description in RNAcentral is "partial 16S ribosomal RNA". The record is from RNAcentral. Lineage: Bacteria; Pseudomonadati; Bacteroidota; Bacteroidia; Bacteroidales; Prevotellaceae.